Molecule: ribosomal RNA, 421 nt
Filed under: uncultured bacterium
Lineage: Bacteria
Description: partial 16S ribosomal RNA
Rfam family: Bacterial small subunit ribosomal RNA
Source: RNAcentral
AAUAUUGCACAAUGGGGGCAACCCUGAUCCAGCCACGCCGCGUGUGUGAAGAAGGUCUUCGGACUGUAAAGCACUUUAAGUUGUGAGGAAGGGCCUUAGGUUAAUUCCCUGAAGUCUUGACGUUACCAUCAGAAUAAGCACCGGCUAACUCUGUGCCCGCAGCCGCGGUAAUACAGAGGGUGCAAGCGUUAAUCGGAAUUACUGGGCGUAAAGCGCGCGUAGGUGGUUCAGUAAGAUGGGUGUGAAAUCCCCGGGCUUAACCUGGGAACUGCUUUCAUAACUGCUGAGCUAGAGUACGGUAGAGGGUAGUGGAAUUUCCUGUGUAGCGGUGAAAUGCGUAGAUAUAGGAAGGAACACCAGUGGCGAAGGCGACUACCUGGACUGAUACUGACACUGAGGUGCGAAAGCGUGGGGAGCAAAC